Molecule: ribosomal RNA, 461 nt
Filed under: uncultured bacterium
Lineage: Bacteria
Description: partial 16S ribosomal RNA
Rfam family: Bacterial small subunit ribosomal RNA
Source: RNAcentral
CCUAACGGGAGGCAGCAGUGAGGAAUAUUGGUCAAUGGGCGGGAGCCUGAACCAGCCAAGUCGCGUGAGGGAAGACGGUCCUACGGAUUGUAAACCUCUUUUGCCGGGGAGCAACGGGGUCCUUGCGAGGGCCCAAUGAGAGUACCCGAAGAAAAAGCAUCGGCUAACUCCGUGCCAGCAGCCGCGGUAAUACGGAGGAUGCGAGCGUUAUCCGGAUUUAUUGGGUUUAAAGGGUGCGUAGGCGGACAGUCAAGUCAGCGGUAAAAAUGCGGUGCUCAACGCCGUACAGCCGUUGAAACUGGCAGUCUUGAGUGGGCGAGAAGUAUGCGGAAUGCGUGGUGUAGCGGUGGAAUGCAUAGAUAUCACGCAGAACUCCGAUUGCGAAGGCAGCAUACCGGCGCCCGACUGACGCUGAGGCACGAAAGCGUGGGUAUCGAACAGGAUUAGAUACCCGAGUAGUC